Molecule: ribosomal RNA, 274 nt
Filed under: uncultured bacterium
Lineage: Bacteria
Description: partial 16S ribosomal RNA
Rfam family: Bacterial small subunit ribosomal RNA
Source: RNAcentral
AGACGGGGGGUGCUAGCGUUGUUCGGAAUUACUGGGCGUAAAGGGCGCGUAGGCGGCUCUGCGAGUCGGGCGUGAAAUCCCGGGGCUCAACCCCGGAACGGCGCUCGAUACUGCGGGGCUGGAGACCGGAAGAGGAGGGUGGAAUUCCCAGUGUAGAGGUGAAAUUCGUAGAUAUUGGGAGGAACACCGGUGGCGAAAGCGGCUCUCUGGUCCGGUUCUGACGCUGAGGCGCGAAAGCGUGGGGAGCAAACAGGAUUAGAAACCCUUGUAGUCC